Molecule: long non-coding RNA, 351 nt
Organism: Mesocricetus auratus (golden hamster)
Lineage: Eukaryota; Metazoa; Chordata; Mammalia; Rodentia; Cricetidae
Exons: 4
Source: RefSeq, a predicted model, not a curated record
UUUCAUCCCGAAAGACGUUGAAUUGCCUCUCGGGUUGUCUUCUGCUGGCUUCUCAAAACUACAGAGAUUCUGCGGAGGAGUGGCUCUUUGGCACAGAAGAACAAAUUCCAAAAUAAACUGUGGAUGUCGACAUGCGGAAGUAUGAAACGAGAUCCCUAUCCGUUACCAGGAGGAUGCAAACCCAAGUAAGACUCUCCAACAAAUGUUUCUGCCACACUCAAGAUAAAUAUCCACUUAUGCCAGCAUGGCUUCUCUGAUGGGUUACGUGACGUCUUGUCAGGACAUCCGUGGUGUUUCUGACGCAUGAGAGCUGAGAUCAAGACCUUUUUCACUCACAUUACAGAUGUACUC